GACGAACGCUUGCGGCGUGCUUAACACAUGCAAGUCGAACGGAAAGGCCCUGCUUUUGUGGGGUGCUCGAGUGGCGAACGGGUGAGUAACACGUGAGUAACCUGCCCUUGACUUUGGGAUAACUUCAGGAAACUGGGGCUAAUACCGGAUAGGAGCUCCUGCUGCAUGGUGGGGGUUGGAAAGUUUCGGCGGUUGGGGAUGGACUCGCGGCUUAUCAGCUUGUUGGUGGGGUAGUGGCUUACCAAGGCUUUGACGGGUAGCCGGCCUGAGAGGGUGACCGGCCACAUUGGGACUGAGAUACGGCCCAGACUCCUACGGGAGGCAGCAGUGGGGAAUAUUGCACAAUGGGCGGAAGCCUGAUGCAGCAACGCCGCGUGCGGGAUGACGGCCUUCGGGUUGUAAACCGCUUUCGCCUGUGACGAAGCGUGAGUGACGGUAAUGGGUAAAGAAGCACCGGCUAACUACGUGCCAGCAGCCGCGGUGAUACGUAGGGUGCGAGCGUUGUCCGGAUUUAUUGGGCGUAAAGGGCUCGUAGGUGGUUGAUCGCGUCGGAAGUGUAAUCUUGGGGCUUAACCCUGAGCGUGCUUUCGAUACGGGUUGACUUGAGGAAGGUAGGGGAGAAUGGAAUUCCUGGUGGAGCGGUGGAAUGCGCAGAUAUCAGGAGGAACACCAGUGGCGAAGGCGGUUCUCUGGGCCUUUCCUGACGCUGAGGAGCGAAAGCGUGGGGAGCGAACAGGCUUAGAUACCCUGGUAGUCCACGCUGUAAACGGUGGGUACUAGGUGUGGGGUCCAUUCCACGGGUUCCGUGCCGUAGCUAACGCUUUGAGUACCCCGCCUGGGGAGUACGGCCGCAAGGCUAAAACUCAAAGGAAUUGACGGGGCCCCGCACAAGCGGCGGAGCAUGCGGAUUAAUUCGAUGCAACGCGUAGAACCUUACCUGGGUUUGACAUGGAUCGGGAGUGCUCAGAGAUGGGUGUGCCUCUUUUGGGGUCGGUUCACAGGUGGUGCAUGGCUGUCGUCAGCUCGUGUCGUGAGAUGUUGGGUUAAGUCCCGCAACGAGCGCAACCCUUGUUCACUGUUGCCAGCACGUUAUGGUGGGGACUCAGUGGAGACCGCCGGGGUCAACUCGGAGGAAGGUGGGGAUGACGUCAAGUCAUCAUGCCCCUUAUGUCCAGGGCUUCACGCAUGCUACAAUGGCUGGUACAGAGAGUGGCGAGCCUGUGAGGGUGAGCGAAUCUCGGAAAGCCGGUCUCAGUUCGGAUUGGGGUCUGCAACUCGACCUCAUGAAGUCGGAGUCGCUAGUAAUCGCAGAUCAGCAACGCUGCGGUGAAUACGUUCCCGGG
RNAcentral lists this ribosomal RNA (1343 nucleotides) under uncultured bacterium. RNAcentral describes it as "16S ribosomal RNA". It matches the Rfam family "Bacterial small subunit ribosomal RNA", at positions 28 to 1378 of the family's 1533-position model. The record is from RNAcentral.